This 30-nucleotide transfer RNA is filed under the name Asarcornis scutulata. Its description in RNAcentral is "partial tRNA-Trp". The record is from RNAcentral. Lineage: Eukaryota; Metazoa; Chordata; Aves; Anseriformes; Anatidae.
AAACUUAGGAUAACGCCCCUCAAACCGAAG